CUUUUUUUUUUCCCCCUUUUUUUUCUGUGAUUCUUUGCUUACAUCAGAUGUUAAUUGAUAUUGGUAACUAUGUGUGGUCUGUAGGAGUAUAGUACUUUGACUGUUCAUAUACAUGUCGACGAUAGGUUCAAACUUUGAUCUUUACCGUGUAAUUCAAAGCGUUUGUGAAAUUUUAGAGCCAAAGUUCGGAUAUCUUUAAGCUGUUAGGAUUUUGCUAAUCCUUCUACCCCUAAAAUAGAUGUCAGAGUGGCCUUUUCUGGAUGUGGUGACUUUUUAUGGAUGUUAAUUAUGUUCUUGUAAUUAAUUAAUUCAACUUACACUUCAUGUUAACAACUCAAAUUAUGUAUGGAGGAACGUGUGUUUUAUAUUGUGUACAUGUUUCUACUUUGCUAGCUCGGAAGCACUAUAACUAUCUCUUUUUGUUGGUUUAAUAGUUUUAGAUGCCAUGACCCCUUUUGUCCUAUUUGUUCUUUUAUGCCUAUUUUUGCAGGAAAAAGGAUCGAAUGAGAUUGUG
Molecule: unclassified non-coding RNA, 514 nt
Filed under: Hevea brasiliensis (rubber tree)
Lineage: Eukaryota; Viridiplantae; Streptophyta; Magnoliopsida; Malpighiales; Euphorbiaceae
Source: RNAcentral